This is a long non-coding RNA of Pezoporus flaviventris, 1173 nucleotides long. RefSeq lists it as uncharacterized. Lineage: Eukaryota; Metazoa; Chordata; Aves; Psittaciformes; Psittacidae. The transcript is spliced from 3 exons. The record is from RefSeq and is a predicted model, not a curated record.
GGCGGGCUUGGCACGGCUUGGCUCGGCUCAGCCCAGCCCCGCACCGCCCGGCUCAGCCCCGCACGGCCCGGCCCGGCUCUCCGCAGCCGGCCCCGCAGCCGGCGGUGCCGCGGGUCUGCCCCGGCUCGUCCUCUCCGCUCCCAUUUAUCGUUUUUUUCUCUUAUUUUCCCCCCUCCCCGUUUUCUCUGUGUGUGUGUGUGGUUCCCGGUGGCAGCCCCCGGCCGCCCUGCCCCGGCCGUGCCCGCACCCUGAAGCGGACGGACGGAUGGACGGACGGAUGGCCGGCAUCCCCGACGGAGGGAUGUUUCUGUCUUUGGUUAUCUAGCUGUAUGAGUGUUGUGGAGCCAUCAUAAAGCUAGAUAACCGAAAGUAGAAAUGACUUCCAGACCUGCUCGCCCGGGGGAAGCGGCCGCACCGGGACCGGCGGAGCAGAGACGGCCCGACCCACCACCCGUGGGGCUCCAGACAUGACUGUGAGUUCGUGGAGUGGGAUGCCUUGGGAAGGGCUGGGACGUCUCCACCUGGGCAAGGAGAGAUCCCAGUGAGUGGACUUUUCAAGCCUGUGAGCUCCUUCUUGCAGUUGGCUACCUCCUGCCCAGACUUGCUGCCUGAUGUAUCCAGGUUUCUCCAGGAGAAUCCCAAUCUGCUUCUCCAAUGGCCCCAUCAAGGAGGCAGCUUUGGCUUACGAAUACAGAGGGUUUCUUCAUCACCUCGAACUACGCCGGUCCAGCUGUAGGAGGGCAGCCAAGGGCAACACAGAGAGCCAGAGAAUCAACACACAUUGCUCCUGUAUGUUCUCUUCAGUGCUCUAAAUAACCCACAGUGGGUUCAAAGUGCUUAGGCAUUGAGCCCUGGGCCAGCCACUGUCUCACCUGGGAGAGUACUGUGUGACUGAAGGUUGGAGUGAGCUUUUAGCACCGGGCUUUGCUCAUGGAGCAUAGCUUGGCCCUUGCUGCUCUUCAUUCCUGGCUGUGCAGAGCUGCAGGAGCACAUCCGAUGGUGCUGUGCUCAGGACCCAGAGGACUGUGAGUCUGUGCAGGCCAGGCAGCCCUGCUGCUGUUCUAUUGCACCCUCUCUGUUCCUGUAAGAGAACCAUACUGGCUGUAAUCCUUUCCCAUUUAAAUCCCCACCCCAUGCCCUGUUGAAAAUAAACUCUCCCUGUUGCAAAAGUGA